GAGUUUGGCUGGGGCGGCACAUCUGUUAAAAGAUAACGCAUGUGUCCUAAGAUGAGCUCAACGGGAACAGAAAUCUCGUGUGGAACAGAAGGGUAAAAGCUCAUUUGAUUCUGAUUUCCAAUACAAAUACAAACCGUGAAAGCGUGGCCUAACGAUCAUUUAGACCUUCGGAAUUCGAAGCUAGAGGUGUCAGAAAUGUUACCACAGGGAUAACUGGCUUG
Molecule: non-coding RNA, 221 nt
Filed under: Nicotiana sylvestris (wood tobacco)
Lineage: Eukaryota; Viridiplantae; Streptophyta; Magnoliopsida; Solanales; Solanaceae
Description: Eukaryotic large subunit ribosomal RNA
Rfam family: Eukaryotic large subunit ribosomal RNA
Source: Rfam by way of RNAcentral